GGACGACCGCUGGCGGCGUGCUUAACACAUGCACGUCGAACGGAAAGGCCCUGCUUUUGUGGGGUGCUCGAGUGGCGAACGGGUGAGUAACACGUGAGUAACCUGCCCUUGACUUUGGGAUAACUUCAGGAAACUGGGGCUAAUACCGGAUAGGAGCUCCUGCUGCAUGGUGGGGGUUGGAAAGUUUCGGCGGUUGGGGAUGGACUCGCGGCUUAUCAGCUUGUUGGUGGGGUAGUGGCUUACCAAGGCUUUGACGGGUAGCCGGCCUGAGAGGGUGACCGGCCACAUUGGGACUGAGAUACGGCCCAGACUCCUACGGGAGGCAGCAGUGGGGAAUAUUGCACAAUGGGCGGAAGCCUGAUGCAGCAACGCCGCGUGCGGGAUGACGGCCUUCGGGUUGUAAACCGCUUUCGCCUGUGACGAAGCGUGAGUGACGGUAAUGGGUAAAGAAGCACCGGCUAACUACGUG
This 469-nucleotide ribosomal RNA is filed under the name uncultured bacterium. RNAcentral's name for it is "partial 16S ribosomal RNA". It matches the Rfam family "Bacterial small subunit ribosomal RNA", at positions 27 to 507 of the family's 1533-position model. The record is from RNAcentral.